Molecule: unclassified non-coding RNA, 2883 nt
Filed under: Hevea brasiliensis (rubber tree)
Lineage: Eukaryota; Viridiplantae; Streptophyta; Magnoliopsida; Malpighiales; Euphorbiaceae
Source: RNAcentral
GUUGUUUUGUGAGAAUGUUGAUGAAAUUGUUUAUUCCUCUAACCUUCAAAUGCUAGCUCGAAAAAUAGUUGACUCGUGCUGCUACCAUUCGCAUGCCAUCUUUCUAAUGUCAAAGGCAUUGAAAGAUGAAUCUGAUGUUGAUGUUUGGAACAAUGCGAUUGAAACAAUGAACAUGCAGCCUGCAUCUCCUGAACAAGAAUUAGAACACAUCAUGGUUAAUGUGUUAAAAUUCAGCUAUCUUCGUCUUCCUGAUGAUACAACUAGAAGAUGCUUGAAAAAUGGUGCACCGUUUUUUGUGAACGAGAAGAUUGCAGGAGAGUCAUUGAUAGACAACUGGAUAUCUGAUGACCUGACAGAUACGCAUCAGAAAGGCCGAAAUGUUCUUGAAACUCUUGUCACUGCUGGCCUGUUGGAGAGGUCCGAGGAUGGUAAGUUCUUCACGCUACAUGAGAUAGAUCGCUGUAUAUUGCUAGAGUAUAUUGUUCCAACAGAGGAAGCUCAAGUAUUAUUUCUUAUUAAUGGUGGUAUGGGGUUGACUAAGCCACCAAAGGUUGAGCAAUGGGAGGGGUUAAUUGAGAUUUGUUUGAUGGAUAAUGAAAUAUCUGAAUUGCCCAUUAGUCCAAGUUGCCCCAAACUCCGAAAAUUGUUCCUCGAAAGAAACUACAAGUUAAGAAUCAUACCUCCUUCAUUUUUUGAUAAUAUGCCAGCUCUCCAGGUUCUAAACUUAUCUAGAACUUCUAUCAAAUCUUUGCCUGAGUCUCUUUUCAAGUUGUUCAACCUUAGAAGGCUCUUUCUAAAUCAUUGUGACCUUAUCACAACCUUGUCAUCCAAAGUUGGAGAACUCAAGCAACUUGAAGUACUUGAUCUUGAAGGGACAGAGAUCAUGUAUUUGCCCAAGGAGGUUGGACAAUUGACAAAUCUCACAUGCUUGGAAGUUUCAUUUUUUGAACCUACAAGUCAGAGGAGAUUAGAGCAAUCAGGUGAAAUAAUUCCUUGUGGGGCUAUAUCAGCUUUAUCUCAAUUAGAAGAGUUAAAUAUUGAUAUGAGUUAUGAUGACAAGCGGUGGAAUGCAUCAGCAGAAGCUGUUGUUUCUGAGAUUUGUAAAUUGGAGAGUUUGCAUACGCUUAAAGUCUACUUUCCCAAGGUGAAACUUUUGAGCCAUUUACACUGGAAUGAAGAAAAUAUGGCGUUUCCAUCAUUGUCGUACUUUAAAUUCACAGUUGGUCAUCUUGUUGAGCGUAUCAUAUCUCGAGUCUCAUGUGAUACAGAAUUGGAGCUUGAACGACACGAUAGGUACUUGAAGUACGUAAAUGGUGAAGGUGUUCCUGGAGAUAUUAAGAAGGUGCUUAGACAUUCAACUGCAUUUUUCUUGGACCGCAACUCGACUAUUAGCAGGUUAUCCGAUUUUGGCUACAGAAAUAUGCAGCAAUUAAAAUGUCUUGUAGCAGGGCAAUGCAACGAACUUCAAGCAAUUAUCGGUGGAGAUCAAAUUGAGUCAUCAUCUUGUGAUGCAACGGUUGGUCUUGUUUCACUAGAAUACAUGCACAUAUAUUACAUGAAGAAUCUAAGGAGCAUAUGGGAAGGUCCUGUGAAUGACUCUAGCUUCAAUUCAUUGAAGUGCUUGACCUUGCGCACAUGUCCAGAGCUUACCACUGUCUUCACGCCAUGGUUGCUUGCAAAUUUCUCCAAUCUUGAAGAGCUCACGAUUCGUGAUUGUCCCAAAAUCACAACCUUAGUGAGUUGCGAUAGUUGUGAUCAUAAUAUCACUUCCAUUCUCCCAGCCUUGAAGAGGAUAUCACUUCAUUUCUUGCCAAAAUUGACUAGCAUCUCCAGUGGUUUGCUCAUGGCACCAAUGUUGGAAUUGAUGAGCUUCCAAUAUUGCCUGAACCUCAAGAGUCUCCCAAUAAGCAAAGCUUUCAAUGAGAAUCUGAGAAAGAUCAAGGGCGAGGAGAGUUGGUGGCAAGAAUUGAAGUGGGAAGGUACUCAUCAUGAUUCUUGGGCUGACAUUUUUGUUCCAAUUGAUUAAUGUAAUCAAAUCAUGUUGUGACUUGAGGAGCUGAUGGGGCUGAGUUCUCUUUUAUGCUUCUUUAUGAUGGGGCAGGGUUUUCUUUAUUGAGAUUGGGUUGUGGUAUACACGUUUGCAUGCUGCCUGCGUAAACACUCUUCUCUGUGUGUUCUUGUUUUGGUCUUGUUUUGACAGAUGUAACUUCUGUUGGUCUGUAUAUGAUCCAGAUUUUUCCACUUACAAUAAUCAGCCAUAGGUUGGUAUCCUUAGAGUUGGUCUAUUGACCAUGGUUUUAGUCUGACUGAUUCUGCCUAAGUUUUUCCUAUUUUUUUUCAUUAAUAUAUUUCUGAUUAAUUAAAAAAAAUAUAUAAUGAAUGUGUUUAAUGGACGUUAUGUUUAAUUCAUAUUAAACUUUUCCUUGGCAAUUUCAUCCUUCUUAAAAAUGAGUUUAUUUGGACUGAUUGGGGCUGAUAUGUAAUUGGCUAAAAACUUAAAAAUGGGUAUAUUUCAAACACUUUAGGGGCAAAAUUCAACUUUUCUCCUAUGUAAAUACUUAGACAACUUGAACAUUUCAUCAACCCACUACCAAAAAAACACAUUCACGAAUGCCCCAAAGCAAGCAAGCUCACCACUCGAGAAAGAAGGCCAAGGAAAGGUUGGUCUGCGGACAACCUAAACCAAGUCCAGUCCAUUACCGAAAGGCCCAAACACCAUACUUCGAUCCAAUUGGAAUAAAGCCAUUAUAUUUAUCAUUUUAUUUAUCAAGUAAAAAUCAAAUAAUUAUAGUGGUCGCAGCAAUCUCAGAUGUGCAAGUCUACUACAGCUAUUAAAUAAAGAAACUACAGUACUCUAAAAAUAACAAAAUACACUAAAAAUAA